GUACAGACGCCAGACGCCAGACGCCAGACGCCGUUGAGAGUUGAGAAACUCCAACUCUAACUAGCCAACCCUGCGGUUCUUCUUUGAAUCCCCAUAUGAGAAGCAGCAGCAGAAUACUUGUAAAGCUCCUCAAACGACAUUCACACACUGCCACGUCAUCAUCACGAUUCUCCACUCCCCCUCCCCACGAAGUCGUCGAACCCUUCUACGACCUCUCAGACGUCAUCGUUUCAGCCUCCCGUGACCCUCCUUCCCCAUCCCCAUGGCUCCCCCAAAUCCUCUCCCUCCUCGACGGUUCCCCUUCCAUGGAAUCCAACCUCACCUCCUUCUGCAACAAAUUCCUUAUCACUCUCUCCCCCAACUUCGUCUCCCACACCCUCCGCUCCCUCACCAACCAACCCCUCCUUGCCACGCGCUUCUUCCACUGGGCUCACUCUCAACCUAGCUACUCCCAUUCCCUCCAUUCCUACGUCUCUCUCAUCGAAACCCUCUCCUUUUCUUCAUCCUUCGAUUCCACUGUGUUCCAGAACAUUCUACAAGAAUUCAAGUGCCGGAAGUUUAAAUUAACUGCCGCCGCCGUUAACUCCUUGCUCAGGAGCUUUGCCGCAGUUGGCAUGGUGGAGGAGCUGUUGUGGAUGUGGCGGAACAUGAAGGAGGAUGGCCUUGAGCCGAAUUUGUAUAAUUUCAAUUCGUUGAUGAACGGAUUGAUUAAUGCCGGUAUGGUGGAAUCGGCGGUUAGGGUUUUCGAGGCGAUGAGGGAGGUUAAUGUGAGGCCGGAUUCGGUUAGUUACAAUACGGUUAUUAAAGGGUAUUGUAAGGUUGGGAAAACUAGGAAGGCCUUGGAGAUGAUUAGGGAGAUGGAGGCUGGGGAUGAUGGUGGUAAUGUGGGGCCGGAUAAGGUUAGUUACAUGACGGUUAUGCAGGCGUGUUAUGGCGAAGGGGAUGUGGAUUGUUGUGUGAGGCUUUACCAUGAGAUGAAGGAGAAGGGGUUGGUGGUUCCUCCACAUGCUUAUAGUUUGGUGGUGUGUGGGCUUUGCAGGCAAGGGAAGGUUGUUGAGGGUCUCAAUGUGUUUGAAGAGAUGAGAAGGGAUAGUUGCGGAGCCAAUAAGGCGGUGUACACGGCGUUGAUCGAUGGUUAUGCAAAAACUGGGAAUGUUGACGGGGCGAUGAGGUUGUUUGAGAGGAUGAGACAGGAGGGGAUUAAACCGGAUGAAGUUACUUAUGGGGCGAUUGUUAAUGGUUUGUGUAAGGGUGGGAGAGUGGAGGAAGCUUUGGGUUAUUUAGAGUUUUGUAAAGAGAAUGGUGUCAUGGUGAAUGCAGUAUUUUACUCGAGUUUGAUUGAUGGCCUUGGGAAGGCUGGGAGAGUUGAUGAAGCCGAGAAGUUGUUUUAUGAGAUGGUUGAUAAGGGGUGCCCCCCGGAUUCUUAUUGCUAUAAUGCACUUAUCGAUGGAUGGUGUAAAGGUGGGAGGAUUGAUGAAGCAUUGGCACUGUUUAAACGGAUGGAGGAGGACGGUUGCGAGCAGACUGUGUAUACGUAUACCAUACUUAUCAGUGAGCUUUUUAAAGUGCACCGGAAUGAAGAGGCAUUGAAAUUAUGGGACAUGAUGAUAGAUAAGGGCAUAACACCAAAUGUUGCUUGCUUUAGGGCUCUUUCAAUUGGACUCUGUCUUUCGGGCAAGGUAGCGAGAGCUUGUAAGAUCUUGGAUGAGCUGGCACCCAUGGGGAUUGUUCUUGAAACAGCUUAUGAAGACAUGAUUAAUGUGUUGUGCAAAGCCGGCCGGGUGAAGGAAGCCUGCAAGUUAGCCGAUGGGAUUGUGGACAGAGGUAGAGAAAUUCCUGGAAAAGUUAGAACAUUGAUGAUCAAUGCGUUGAGGAAGGCUGGUAAUGCAGAUUUGGCUAUAAGGCUGAUGCAUAGCAAGAUUGGUAUUGGGUAUGACCGGAUGCGUAGUGUUAAAAAGAGAGUGAAGUUCCAAACCCUUAUUGACAGCUGACUCUGUUUUUCGCCAGGUAUUGCACCUUCAAAAUUGACAAAGGUCAAAGCUUGUAUAUGUAUGGAAGUAUAGCCAUGCCUGGUUGUUGCGUUGUUAGUGAACUUAACUGUUUGUUGAUACCAGGAACUAUUAUUAAUUGACUGGGUUGGGAUGAUUAAAUUCAGGAUCUAAUAUUUCAUGUUCAACCGAGGCGAUUCAUGUAACAUGAGUCUUGGUUACAUCUCUUCAGGUGCUGGAACCUUGGUUAGUAACUUUACAAGAUUAGAAUGUCGAUAGUUGUGGCGACCGGCAACCUAUUUGUCACCACUGCUGCAGGUUUUGCUGCAUCAUAUUUAUUGUAUUAUACAGAAUCAAGUUUCGUGGAAGGUGGAAGCUUUUGCCGGCAGCAUUCUUUGCCUACAUUUUCCCAUCUAAAUGCAUUGAUAACAUGUGCACUAAAUCAUUGAUCAUGUGAUAGAAUGUCAUUAGUUAGUUACUUGUAUAUAAGGUGAGAGAAAAUCAGUUGAGAAACUAAGGGGUUUUGGUGAGUUUUGAGGAGAAAAAGGAGAGAAGCUCUUGAAUGAGCCUCUCAUCCCUGUAUUUAAUUCAGGUUCUUGAAUCAUGUUGACUAAUAUCUUAUUCAAUAAACAUAUUUCUUACAUUUUUUUAAUACUGCUCUUCAGUCUCUGAACUAACUUCAUCAUUGUUAGAUUCUUAUAAUGGUACUACAUUAUGGGACCAAAAUGCAAAUGGCGCAAGAAAUCUUUCAUACAUUGAAAAAAAAAUUGUACAGAACAAAACUAAUUUCUUUGGCACUCCAAAUUUCCAAAUCCUAACUUGCAAGUACACAUUGUAGCAUUCAAAUUAACAAAGUUGACCCCCUUUUCACAUGACUAACUAGAAGAGGAAAGGCUCAACAUGAAAAAAGGGUAGAGAGGGUAGUUUUUUUAUGGCGAACAAGAACAAAGAAAAGUUAUUGUCAUGUUACGUAUAACGAUAUUCAAUUUGCAUGUUACAUACUCUUCAAAAGUAAUUCAUGUGAACCAAUGAGAUCUACUUGGUCCCCCCUCUUUUUUUUUUCAUUCUCAGUACUUUAGGGCAGAAUUGGUAUUUGGUUUCAUUUUCUAUCUUUCAUUAUUGAUUUUAUAUCUUACAUGCUAAUAAAAGAUUUUUGCAAUUUCCUUUUUAAUAUCCCCCUCUUACGUGAAUACCAGGUGAAGAAUUUUGCCCAUUAAUGUGUAAAAUUGAGUCACUUCUUGAAGACGAAUAAAAGACCUUGCAUCAAAUCCAUAGCACUCAUGAAUUUUGUGUGGAGUAUUGGUGUUUCAUAUCACUGCAUGUUUGAUAACCAAUACUAAUUAGUUUGACCCAAUUUCUUGACUUUUAUUUUCAAUUAGAACAAAAAAUAGAACAUUAGUCUUAUGGUCGUGCCAUCAAGUAUUGAUGAUUAAUUCCUCAACUACCAACUUACUUUUGAAUUCUCCAUCAGUCUUAUGUCCGUGCCAUCCAGUUGGAUGAUAAGAUGGUCUUUGAUUUGGUUGAAAGUGGAAAUAUCUCAUAAACCAACCUUCAUUUAGGAAGGUACUCCUCGUUAAUAAUGAAUUCUAUUUUCUUGCAAAUCCUUUCAUGAAUUUUUGGAGGCUGUUCGACCACAUCCAAUUGUUUAUAUUCUAUAACUAUCUGUGAAAUUGUCUUCGGGUUUUUCUAUAUGUAAGGGAGUUGAACAAUUUCAACAAGCUUUGGAUAUUUCAUCACAAUGUGUGCUUGCACAAUAUGAACUUGCUUUUGGGGCUCCUUUGUUUAGCAAAAGAUUGCAUGAACUUGGGACCAUUUAUGUGGGGGGCUUCUUUGUUAGAGGAAGCAUCUGAGGUUGCAAGAGCAAGUGCUUAUUCUGUUAGGAAUGUCUCAUGUAUUGGGAAAUUAUAUGUUGAUGUUCAGGUAUCAUUUGUUUUGUUAGUAUUAAAAGGAUUUCUUUGUUUUCAACAUUUUAUAUUUUCAGGCAUAUGUUGGUGUCAUGGCAUGGACGUGGAUCUUCUUCUCUGAGGCCAAUUCUCCUUGAAGAUUGAGUGUGCCUUAAAUGCCCCAUUAAAGAGUUGUUUAAGACAUGAUUCAGGAACUGGAUAAGAACAUUCAGAAAAUAUACUGCAGCAUUGCUAUCGGUUGCAUUGCUGAGGCUUGCUUGGAUUGACCGACUACCCUUGCCAGAUAUAUGAAAAGUAGUAUGAAAGAAGUUUACAUGUCAAAGAUAGGUAGUUAAUGCAGUUAUGCGUAUUUCAGUUUAUAUGUUUAUGCCUAGCUAUGAAGAUGGAAACUAAUAAGCUAAAGCCUUAUCUCGGUUGUCAAACCCGUGAGUUGUAAUUAUUGAACCAAAUAAUUUCGACAGUGUAGCAUUAAGAGUUAUAAUA
Non-coding RNA from Arachis ipaensis, 4375 nucleotides. NCBI's taxonomy places the organism in Eukaryota, Viridiplantae, Streptophyta, Magnoliopsida, Fabales, Fabaceae. The record is from RefSeq and is a predicted model, not a curated record.